UCACAGGCGUGAGCCACCGCGCCCCUCUACGUUUUUAUUUAUUCCUAAUAACUACUUUAUUGUGAUUCUUAAAGAGCUUUAACUUUUCUUGAGAUAAUUUUAAACUCACAGGAAAGGUGAAGAAUAAUACCAAGAGAGACUAACAGCAGGACGGCAUGAAGAGCUCGGGAUUCACCCCUAGUGAAACUGAAAAUUAUUUAAAACAACAAACAACCAUUAACCAUUUAAAGCCUUUGAAAUGGUCCUAAGGGCAAACAGCAAAUGAAGAAACAUCUGUUCCAAAAAAUCUAUGAAAACUCUUGGAUCAGAAUGUGAGAGUCAGUCUGUGGUAUUUAAACCAAACCUCUCCCUUUGUUCAGCAAGAGACUCCACUCCAGACUGCUGCAACUCAGAACCUCUCUCUUCCCACAGCUCCCAGUCAGAGACCAGCAUAUCAGCAUUUCUCAUCUUGCCCCUAGCUACCUGAUGCUGAAGGUUAAAGAUGAGAACAAAAGGAAGAUUUCAAGCUGGAAUUGCAGAAGGAGGAUUUGAGAUUAAUGCUGGGUCUGAAAAUUGAGCAAAGGUGUAAUGGUUGCAAUGCAUUGGCACGAUCUCAGCUGACUGCAACCUCC
RNAcentral lists this long non-coding RNA (611 nucleotides) under Homo sapiens (human). Its description in RNAcentral is "HSALNT0308335". The record is from RNAcentral. Lineage: Eukaryota; Metazoa; Chordata; Mammalia; Primates; Hominidae.